RNAcentral lists this long non-coding RNA (343 nucleotides) under Salvia miltiorrhiza (redroot sage). RNAcentral describes it as "long non-coding RNA (SMIL_LNC001894)". The record is from RNAcentral. Lineage: Eukaryota; Viridiplantae; Streptophyta; Magnoliopsida; Lamiales; Lamiaceae.
ACCAUUUUCAGCUCCACCCAUAAAUGCCAGCGCUGACUACUUUCCAGCUCCACCUAUUUCGCCAACGCUGACUACCUUUCCCAAGCAUAAUCAUAAGAGUUCACUUUUCCAGAGCUAUGUUUAUUCUUUCCAGCUUCGUCAUAUUCUUGCCAGCACCAUUACUUUCCAACUAUGUUUAUUCUUGCCAGCGCUGUCCCCAUGUGUAUCUAGCUAUGCUUAUUCUCAUCAGUAGCUAGGUCUAUAAUAGGGUUUCAUUUCUAUUGUAAAAUCAUCUAUCUUUUGCUAUAGUUUGAGACUCCAUCUUUGAGAUCUCUUGGCAUCCGAAAAAUAGAAUUUAUUGCUU